CACACAGCUCAUAGUACAGGUCCCCUUAGUGCCACCUGGGCUCACUGAAACUGUAAGUGAGCAGACAGGGGCAACCUGGGAGCAGCAUACUAACCAAACCAUUGUCCACAACUCCAUUAUUCCAAAACGGUAUUCAGAAACCAGUUUUCAACCAAACCAUUUU
Phyllostomus discolor (pale spear-nosed bat) is the source of this 163-nucleotide long non-coding RNA. RefSeq lists it as uncharacterized. NCBI's taxonomy places the organism in Eukaryota, Metazoa, Chordata, Mammalia, Chiroptera, Phyllostomidae. The transcript has 3 exons. The record is from RefSeq and is a predicted model, not a curated record.